AGGGCAGACGGUGGAUGCCUUGGCUCUCGGAGGCGAUGAAGGACGUGAUAAGCUGCGAAAAGCCCGGGGGAGAUGCAAAUAAUCCUUGAUUCCGGGAUAUCCGAAUGGGGCAACCCGGCAGGCAGGAGGCCUGCCACCAUGCAAAUGGGGCGAACGCGGGGAACUGAAACAUCUAAGUACCCGCAGGAGAAGAAAACAAAAUGUGAUUCCGCAAGUAGUGGCGAGCGAACGCGGAACAGCCCAAACCGGCGCCGUUUCGGCGGCGCCGGGGUUGUAGGACCACGCCGUGGCAAGACGGCAGGACAGCGGAAGGCGUUGGAAAACGCCGCCAAAGACGGUGAAAGCCCGGUACGCGCCAUCCUGCCCAAGCCUAGUGGCAUCCUGAGUAACGCGGAGCACGAGGAAUUCUGCGCGAAACAGCGGGGCCCAUCCCGCAAGGCUAAAUACUCCCGGGAGACCGAUAGCGAACCAGUACCGUGAGGGAAAGGUGAAAAGAACCCCGAACAGGGGAGUGAAACAGACCCUGAACCCGUCUGCCUACAAGCGGUCGGAGCACCAAUGUGGUGUGACGGCGUGCCUUUUGCAUAAUGAACCUACGAGUUACUUCCAGUGGCGAGGUUAAGGCGUUCAGCGCCGCAGCCGAAGCGAAAGCGAGUCUGAAAAGGGCGUCGAGUCACUGUGAGUAGACGCGAAACCAAGUGAUCUACCCUUGGCCAGGAUGAAGGUUGGGUAACACCAACUGGAGGUCCGUAUGGUUAUACGUUGAAAAGUGUUCCAAUGAGCUGAGGGUAGGGGUGAAAGGCUAAUCAAACUUGGAGAUAGCUCGUACUCCCCGAAAUGCAUUUAGGUGCAGCCUGCCGGCAGUAUUGCACGAGGUAGAGCGACUGAUUGGAUGCGAGGGCUUCACCGCCUAUCAAGUCCAGACAAACUCCGAAUGCGCGCAAUACAUUCCGGUGGAGUGAGGGCGCGGGUGCUAAGGUCCGCGUCCGAGAGGAGAAGAAUCCAGACCACCUGCUAAGGCCCCGAAAUGGUGCCUGAGUUGAGAAAACGAAGUCGGACUGCAGAGACAGCUAGGAUGUUGGCUUGGAAGCAGCCAUUCAUUUAAAGAGUGCGUAACAGCUCACUAGUCGAGGAGUCCGGCAUGGAUAAUAAUCGGGCAUAAGGCAUCUGCCGAAGCAGUGGAUCACGCAAGUGAUGGUAGGGGAGCAUUCCAUGUGCGUCGAAGGUCGGGGACGACCCCGGUUGGAGCGCAUGGAAAAGCAAAUGUAGGUAUAAGUAACGAUAAAGGAAGCGAGAAACUUCCUCGCCGAAAGACUGAGGUUUCCUGAUCAACGCUAAUCGGAUCAGGGUAAGUCGGGACCUAAGGAUAAGCCGAACGGCGAAGCCGAUGGAAGAAACGGUCAACAUUCCGUUACUACUGUAUUGGGUGAAGCGGGGACGGAGAAGUGAAAGCCCUGCCGGCUGACGGAAUAGCCGGUUGAAGGGUGUAGGUGCAGAUGGCCGCAGGCAAAUCCGCGGCUUGAGCCGAACCUGAGAGUAUGCCAAGCGCUUGCGCGAGGCAAGAUGGGCGUAAUCCGGCUCCCUAGAAAAUCCGCUAAACGUAACCAUUACAGUACCCGUACCGCAAACGGACACACGUAGUUGGGUUGAAAAUACUGAGGCGCUCGAGUGAUUCACGGUUAAGGAACUAGGCAAAAUGGUCCUGUAACUUCGGGAUAAAGGACGCCAAUCUCAAGAUUGGCCGCAGAGAAUAGGCCCAGGCGACUGUUUAACAAAAACACAUGGCUAUGCGAAAUAGUGAACAUGAAGUAUAUAGCCUGACACCUGCCCGGUGCCGGAAGGUUAAGAGGAGAUGUCACCGCAAGGGAAGCAUUGAAUUGAAGCCCCGGUAAACGGCGGCCGUAACUAUAACGGUCCUAAGGUAGCGAAAUUCCUUGUCGGGUAAGUUCCGACCUGCACGAAUGGUGUAACGAUCUGGGCACUGUCUCAACCGUGAGCUCGGUGAAAUUGUAGUAUCGGUGAAGAUGCCGAUUACCCGCGAUGGGACGAAAAGACCCCGUGAACCUUUACUAUAGCUUUACAUUGCGUUUGGGCAACCGAUGUGUAGGAUAGGCCGGAGGCUAUGAAGCAGGCACGCCAGUGCCGGUUGAGCCGGCGUUGAAAUACGGCCCUUUGGUUGUUUGAACCCUAACCCGUUAAACGGGGACACUGUAUGGCGGGUAGUUUGACUGGGGUGGUCGCCUCCAAAAGCGUAACGGAGGCU
RNAcentral lists this ribosomal RNA (2263 nucleotides) under human gut metagenome. Its description in RNAcentral is "bacterial LSU rRNA". It matches the Rfam family "Bacterial large subunit ribosomal RNA", at positions 14 to 2308 of the family's 2925-position model. The record is from RNAcentral.